UACGUAGGGCGCAAGCGUUGUCCGGAAUUAUUGGGCGUAAAGAGCUCGUAGGCGGCUUGUCACGUCGGGUGUGAAAGCCCACUGCUUAACGGUGGGUCUGCUUCCGGUACGGGCGGGCUGGAGUGUGGCAGGGGAGACUGGAAUUCCUGGUGUAGCGGUGGAAUGCGCAGAUAUCAGGAGGAACACCGGCGGUGUAGACGGCUUUCUGGACCGUAGCUGACGCUGAGACACGAAAGCGUGGGUAGCAAACAGG
Molecule: ribosomal RNA, 253 nt
Filed under: uncultured bacterium
Lineage: Bacteria
Description: partial 16S ribosomal RNA
Rfam family: Bacterial small subunit ribosomal RNA
Source: RNAcentral